GGAGGCUCUGGCUCGAUGGCGGCGAGGCGGGCUCUGGGUCCUCUCCCGGCCAGGCCGAGCUUAGUAUGUGGAGGCGGCGGCGGGAGCGUGGGCAUGGACCAAGGGAAGGGGGACCCCCCCCAAACCGCACUGGUGCUUUCCUUUCCCUCCACUCGCGCCGUAGCCCUCCCCAAAUUGCCCGUCUCCGGUAGGACUGAAUCUGUCUGCUGGCCUCUCAGCUACCAACUUUGCCCGAAAUCUAGAUCCCAGACCUGCUCCUGGGUAGCUCUAGGAUGUGACUUUAAACUGGAAUGACUCUCAGGAGCUAGGUUUGAUAUGGCACAAUCUCAAGGCAUCCCUAAGUCUGAAGUUCUUCCAGCAGGUUUGGACAAGCAGCUCAGAGAUUAGCGAAUGCGUCUCAGCUGUCCUAGGAAAGUGCUGUCAGCAAGUCUGAAGAGUUUCCCAGAAGCCCCGAAAGGACGCAAUAGCAUCGUUUAGCAGAAAGAAACAGCCCUGGAUUAAUGUUCUUUUGGGAUUCAUCUUCUGGCUUUGUGAUUUUUGGGCAAGUUGCUUAUCUUCCUCCAUUUAUUCACAUAUAUAAUGAGAUGAGUAAUACCUACCUUACAAACUUUUCUGUGAGAAGAAAAAAAAAUUGUUAAAUAUUUGCUGUGUGUAAAAUGCUUAUUCCUUUAAAGUUUUCAUGUCAGUUAAAAACAUUAUUGGCUUGAAACCUGAUAAAAACGUGUUAUUGACUUGAAUCCUUACUCAACAAUGGAAAUAGCAAUUGUGCUUGCCAUUCAGGGUGGCACAAUUAUUUCCAUUGGUUCAGGGUGGUGGUGUGGGAGCUACUAGAUAGAACAGGUGGGGCAAUUCUUGAUACAUUUUGGUGUUUUUUGUUACUACUAAUCCACCAACUCUUGUUUUCACUCAGAAGCAGAUCAAAUGGACGUAUUUAUUAUAGACAGAAAAAGUGAUAAAUGAGAUUAAUUUUAAAAAUAAAAUGAAAAGGAAAAUAAUUAUGAAUGUAUGAUUUAUAAGUUCUGAAUAUAUGAUUUAUAAGUUCUGCCUGUAUACAUAAUAAAAUCAUUUAAAUUACACGACUGUUAACUGAGCGAAGUAAUUUUUAUCACUUAGAUUUAUGUGUUCCUCGGACAGUCUUAAAUGAAAACAAGAUGUGAUGGCUUUAGAGAAUUUCACUUUGACUGGAAGUGUUUUUAAUUGAAGAGUAUUUUGCAUUAGCUGAUGGAGUUAAUUUCCCUAAGAUCUUCCAUAACUAGUGCAUGUAGCACUAGCUAGUUGGAAUCUGAGCAUUCAGGGACAUUCUUUAUCAUCUUAAGUAAAAAAAAAUUGUGUUUUAUGAUAUAUGUAAAAUAUGGAAGCUCAUAUGCUCUUUAAGAUGGGAUGAAAGAGAAUAGUUUUAUUGUAUAUUAGAAAAACUGAGUUUUUCUGAUAUAGUACUUCCCAGAUGUUAGCAGUUGCAAUGAAGAUAAUAAAAUCAAGCACUAUACAGUAUUUCUUGGGUCAAGUUGGAGAAACACUAGAUUAAUAAAAA
This 1531-nucleotide long non-coding RNA is filed under the name Macaca mulatta (Rhesus monkey). Its description in RNAcentral is "lncRNA (ENSMMUG00000052072.1)". The record is from RNAcentral. Lineage: Eukaryota; Metazoa; Chordata; Mammalia; Primates; Cercopithecidae.